Non-coding RNA from Triticum aestivum (bread wheat), 135 nucleotides. The record is from Rfam. NCBI's taxonomy places the organism in Eukaryota, Viridiplantae, Streptophyta, Magnoliopsida, Poales, Poaceae.
UACAUACUCCCUCCGUCCGAAAAUACUUGUCAUCAAAAUGGACAAAAAGGGAUGUAUCUAGAACUAAAAUACAUCUAGAUACAUCCCCUUUUAUUCAUUUUGAUGACAAGUAUUUCUGGACGGAGGGAGUAUUAU